UCUCUAGGGUGGGCUGCCUGCCCUGGCUGAGCUGGAUUAAAUCGGUGCUCUAUUGGGUGGGGCAGACUCUGGGCUAGCAGGCCUCAGGGAGAACUCCAAUGGCGUCUGUGUCAGCUCGCCCACACCAGGCCACAACAAUGGCUGCCGCCAAUGUCCCAGUCCCUGGAGAGGUCUUGCCUCUCACCGAGAUGCACUCAGGGCCUAUUAGGUUUCUCUCACCUGUCUGACAAGGCCAAAUUCCCCAGUUCCAUGGCAUGGACUCCAGACUGUUGCUUGGGAAUUAAAUGAAACAGCCUAUUUGGUCUCAGGCAUUUUCUCAUUUGAUCUCUGAAAUCGUUUUAUUUCUAAAGAUAAGUAAAUGCAUGAAAGGAAAGCUUCAGAAGGCAAAAUGAUUAUUUGACUAAAGCAUAUAUGAAAUGUCCUCCUUAUCUAAGGAAUACCUGCACAAGAAGAUUUGUUCAACUAGCUGUGAAGAGGAUAAAAUUUUCUGUAUAUUGCUGCACAAGGAAGAAUUAUAUUGCAUCUACAUAUCACUAAAAUUACCAACAGGUUCUGAAAAUGACAUCUAUUCCAAACAUGAUAGACCUUUUAAAUGAGAAAACUGAAUAAAAACACACUAUGUAAAACUGAAAUCUGAACCUUCAUCUGACAUUCUUAUUUUCCACUCUCUUUACCCCUAUCAGAAAACACCUCUGCUCUACAGAGGCCCUUUUCUUCUUGUUCCUCAAACAUGUUAAGUUUAUUCAAGCUCCAUUUCCACCUCCACUCAUUCUCUCAGGAUUCUCCCUUUACCCAGUAUGGCGUUCAGUUCUUCUUUAGCUUUUCUAAACUCCACCAUCCUUUCAAGCUCAGCUCGAGUCCCUGCAUGAGGUUUUUGGGGUUAUUCUGUCCCGCAAUGACUUUUCUUUCUCUGACGUCUUAUGGUGUGGAUAAUCUGUUUCAACCAAGUUAGCAUUAGUAUUAAGAAUGUUUAUUUCUGUUUCCCCAACAGAGUCAAAUUUCUUUAGGUGAAGAACCUGGCAUAGCGUUAGGACUGAUUAU
This is a long non-coding RNA of Diceros bicornis minor, 1041 nucleotides long. RefSeq lists it as uncharacterized. The transcript has 4 exons. NCBI's taxonomy places the organism in Eukaryota, Metazoa, Chordata, Mammalia, Perissodactyla, Rhinocerotidae. The record is from RefSeq and is a predicted model, not a curated record.